AGCGAACGCUGGCGGCAGGCCUAACACAUGCAAGUCGAACGAACUCUUCGGAGUUAGUGGCGGACGGGUGAGUAACACGUGGGAACGUGCCUUUUGGUUCGGAAUAACUCAGGGAAACCUGUGCUAAUACCGAAUGUGCCCUUCGGGGGAAAGAUUUAUCGCCAUUAGAGCGGCCCGCGUCUGAUUAGCUAGUUGGUGAGGUAACGGCUCACCAAGGCGACGAUCAGUAGCUGGUCUGAGAGGAUGACCAGCCACACUGGGACUGAGACACGGCCCAGACUCCUACGGGAGGCAGCAGUGGGGAAUCUUGCGCAAUGGGCGAAAGCCUGACGCAGCCAUGCCGCGUGAAUGAUGAAGGUCUUAGGAUUGUAAAAUUCUUUCACCGGGGACGAUAAUGACGGUACCCGGAGAAGAAGCCCCGGCUAACUUCGUG
Molecule: ribosomal RNA, 433 nt
Filed under: uncultured bacterium
Lineage: Bacteria
Description: partial 16S ribosomal RNA
Rfam family: Bacterial small subunit ribosomal RNA
Source: RNAcentral